RNAcentral lists this ribosomal RNA (253 nucleotides) under uncultured bacterium. RNAcentral's name for it is "partial 16S ribosomal RNA". It matches the Rfam family "Bacterial small subunit ribosomal RNA", at positions 524 to 776 of the family's 1533-position model. The record is from RNAcentral.
UACAGAGGUCUCAAGCGUUGUUCGGAUUCAUUGGGCGUAAAGGGUGUGUAUGUGGCGCCGUAAGUCGGGUGUGAAAUUUCGGAGCUUAACUCCGAAACUGCAUUCGAUACUGCGGUGCUUGAGGACUGGAGAGGAGACUGGAAUUCAUGGUGUAGCAGUGAAAUGCGUAGAGAUCAUGAGGAAGACCAGUGGCGAAGGCGGGUCUCUGGACAGUUCCUGACACUGAGACACGAAGGCCAGGGGAGCAAACGGG